This 492-nucleotide ribosomal RNA is filed under the name uncultured bacterium. Its description in RNAcentral is "partial 16S ribosomal RNA". It matches the Rfam family "Bacterial small subunit ribosomal RNA", at positions 29 to 507 of the family's 1533-position model. The record is from RNAcentral.
AGUGAACGCUGGCGGUAGGCCUAACACAUGCAAGUCGAACGGCAGCACAGUAAGAGCUUGCUCUUACGGGUGGCGAGUGGCGGACGGGUGAGGAAUACAUCGGAAUCUACUUUUUCGUGGGGGAUAACGUAGGGAAACUUACGCUAAUACCGCAUACGACCUACGGGUGAAAGCAGGGGAUCUUCGGACCUUGCGCGAUUGAAUGAGCCGAUGUCGGAUUAGCUAGUUGGCGGGGUAAAGGCCCACCAAGGCGACGAUCCGUAGCUGGUCUGAGAGGAUGAUCAGCCACACUGGAACUGAGACGCGGUCCAGACUCCUACGGGAGGCAGCAGUGGGGAAUAUUAGACAAUGGGCGCAAGCCUGAUCCAGCCGUACCGCGUGGGUGAAGAAGGCCUUCGGGUUGUAAAGCCCUUUUGUUGGGAAAGAAAAGCAGCAGGUUAAUACCCCGCUGUUCUGACGGUACCCAAAGAAUAAGCACCGGCUAACUUCGUG